RNAcentral lists this transfer RNA (72 nucleotides) under Penaeus chinensis. Its description in RNAcentral is "tRNA-Pro". It matches the Rfam family "tRNA". From Rfam's summary of the family: Transfer RNA (tRNA) molecules are approximately 80 nucleotides in length. Their secondary structure includes four short double-helical elements and three loops (D, anti-codon, and T loops). The record is from RNAcentral. Lineage: Eukaryota; Metazoa; Arthropoda; Malacostraca; Decapoda; Penaeidae.
GGCCUGAUGGUCUAGGGGUAUGAUUCUCGCUUUGGGUGCGAGAGGUCCCGGGUUGAAAUCCCGGUCAGGCCC